RNAcentral lists this ribosomal RNA (253 nucleotides) under uncultured bacterium. RNAcentral's name for it is "partial 16S ribosomal RNA". It matches the Rfam family "Bacterial small subunit ribosomal RNA", at positions 524 to 776 of the family's 1533-position model. The record is from RNAcentral.
UACGGGGGGGGCAAGCGUUGUUCGGAAUUACUGGGCGUAAAGGGCGCGUAGGCGGUUCGCUAAGUUGAAUGUGAAAACUCUGGGCUUAACCCAGAGCCUGCAUUCAAUACUGGCGGGCUAGAGUUCUGGAGGGGAUAGCGGAAUUCGUGGUGUAGCGGUGAAAUGCGUAGAUAUCACGAGGAACACCGGAGGUGUAGACGGCCAGCUGGACAGGUACUGACGCUGAGGCACGAAAGCGUGGGGAGCGAACAGG